Molecule: unclassified non-coding RNA, 1002 nt
Filed under: Hevea brasiliensis (rubber tree)
Lineage: Eukaryota; Viridiplantae; Streptophyta; Magnoliopsida; Malpighiales; Euphorbiaceae
Source: RNAcentral
AUUUUAAGAAAGCAGAAAAAACAAUGCUUGACUACUGUAUAUCAACAGCCAAAAGCAAUUAAACUAAUUUCUGCGCCUAUAUAUAAUUUAACUAUAGGUAAAUUGAAGUACACUAAAUGAAUAAUAACUUGAAAACCCUCAGUUAUAACCAGAAUAUGGCAGCAGUAAGCAUGCUUCCCAAUCUAAAAGAACAUAUACGCCUUUUCAGAGAAAAGAACCAACAUCCACCCUGCCAUUUUCAAUCAGGUGGGAAGAAAAAAAAUAUUUAUUUGUUUUUAAUUUUCUUUCAAUUGGGAGGACAGGAUGAUCUCCGCAUGCUUAUAUGUAGCUCCACCCUUCCUCUCCAUUUAGUGCCACCUUCAACAUAGAAAAGAAGACUCCUUCAACCCACUCCUAAACAGGGCAGACCUUUUAUUUAUUUAUUUUUAUUUUUGAUCCAUGUUUACUCGAAUUGCUAUUGGAACUCAUAUGAAAAGAAGCUAUUUAACGAGAUACUAGCAUAGGAGGUCCAAUUUGACCUGAAUCUUGAAUAUGUGUUUAAUUACACUCGAGUACUUGUAAUAUAGAUACAAGUACACUUCAAUUGACUGAAAUAUGCGGCUGCAUGUUACGUCAACGUAUUCGGAUGGACUUAUAUAUGGCUCACAUAAAUGUUACUAAAUCAUUGCUUUUGUGCGUAUAUUUUGUCCUUUUUAGUAAGGUGCAUAAUGUUUCUUUUUUUGAUCAAAUCAUGCUGUUUCAUUUUCUUUUCUUAUGGAUCCCUACUAAGACUAUUUUUUUAUACAACUUGGAAUGAUUUUUAAAUACUUUGAUGUCCAAAAGAGUAUCCUAUAUGACAGUUGCUUUGGCCAAUAUAAUAUACACCUAUAUGAUGAUUUGGACAAGCAUAAGUAUGAAUGAAGUUUUAUUCUUUCUGACAUUGUUUAAGUAGUCAAAUUAUAUUAUUCGAGUCUAUCCCUUUUUGUUUUUAUUAGUGCAGUGAUGAGAAUGGAUUGUUUUAUG